RNAcentral lists this ribosomal RNA (493 nucleotides) under fungal endophyte sp. ZY-2009. RNAcentral describes it as "eukaryotic LSU rRNA". The stretch from base 137 to 290 matches the Rfam family "5.8S ribosomal RNA". The record is from RNAcentral. Lineage: Eukaryota; Fungi.
CUCCCAAACCCCUGUGAACAUACCACUUGUUGCCUCGGCGGAUCAGCCCGCUCCCGGUAAAACGGGACGGCCCGCCAGAGGACCCCUAAACUCUGUUUCUAUAUGUAACUUCUGAGUAAAACCAUAAAUAAAUCAAAACUUUCAACAACGGAUCUCUUGGUUCUGGCAUCGAUGAAGAACGCAGCAAAAUGCGAUAAGUAAUGUGAAUUGCAGAAUUCAGUGAAUCAUCGAAUCUUUGAACGCACAUUGCGCCCGCCAGUAUUCUGGCGGGCAUGCCUGUUCGAGCGUCAUUUCAACCCUCAAGCACAGCUUGGUGUUGGGACUCGCGUUAAUUCGCGUUCCUCAAAUUGAUUGGCGGUCACGUCGAGCUUCCAUAGCGUAGUAGUAAAACCCUCGUUACUGGUAAUCGUCGCGGCCACGCCGUUAAACCCCAACUUCUGAAUGUUGACCUCGGAUCAGGUAGGAAUACCCGCUGAACUUAAGCAUAUCAAUA